Molecule: long non-coding RNA, 228 nt
Filed under: Theobroma cacao (cacao)
Lineage: Eukaryota; Viridiplantae; Streptophyta; Magnoliopsida; Malvales; Malvaceae
Description: long non-coding RNA (TCAC_LNC000582)
Source: RNAcentral
GAGUCCAUCGUGUACCAUUGUUGCAUUGUUAAAUGUCAUGUCAUAUAAAAAUAUUUCAUAUACGAGUAUGAACUCGAUGAUGGGACUUUCCGAGGAAGUUUGUGAAGGCGAGUUUCUUCGAAAAAAAAAAUCUCUAGGUGAAAAAAUAUCUCUGAGUCCCACCAGUAUUAUGGGAGGGUUCAGAGAAAUAUCUUCGAUAAAAAUCUUUUGCCUGUAUUAGGACUUGCA